This 253-nucleotide ribosomal RNA is filed under the name uncultured bacterium. RNAcentral describes it as "partial 16S ribosomal RNA". It matches the Rfam family "Bacterial small subunit ribosomal RNA", at positions 524 to 776 of the family's 1533-position model. The record is from RNAcentral.
UACGAAGGGGGCUAGCGUUGCUCGGAAUCACUGGGCGUAAAGGGUGCGUAGGCGGGUCUUUUAAGUCGGUGGUGAAAUCCUGGAGCUCAACUCCAGAACUGCCUUCGAUACUGGGAGCUCGAGUCCGGGAGAGGUGAGUGGAACUGCGAGUGUAGAGGUGAAAUUCGUAGAUAUUCGCAAGAACACCAGUGGCGAAGGCGGCUCACUGGCCCGGUACUGACGCUGAGGUGCGAAAGCGUGGGGAGCAAACAGG